AAACACAGAAACACACGCACAAAUACACUGAACUUUAAUGGUGAUCUUUAUUCAAAUUACAGUUUCUGUGCACACCUGUAAUCCCAGCUACUCCAGAAGUUGAUGGGAGCAUCCCUUGAGCCCAGGAGUUCAAGUCCAGCCUGGGCAACAUAGUGAAAUCCCACCUCUCAAUCUUUUAAAAAAUUAAAUUACAACUUCCCAUAUUAUAAAAAAGUACUGCAGCUCCAAGCUUGAAUGGAAAUUCAUUAGAUUUUUAUAAAUUUGAAGGAAGUUUAUUUCUGAAAAUAAAUUUUGUUGAAUUUCUUCUUAAGGUGGAAAUUUGUUUUUCAUUCCUUUUCUUUGCAUGUGAGUUUUGUAUCAGUUGUGGAACUCUAUAGCUCCACUACAUAUUUGGGUAUUUGAAUAUUUGAAUCUGUUGUGCUUUUUCCAGGAAAUUCUGAAUUUUAGGAUAGUCUACAGGUACCAUAAAUUGAGAAGUCCAAACAAUUCAUUAUCUUCCUUGAAGCCCAAACCUGCCAUUUUUCUCAGAUAGGAAAGCCACCAAACAUAGGGAGCAUGCCUGCCACUUCCCUCUGGCCCGUCUCUGGCUCAUCCGCCACAGAGACCUAUUUAUUACAUCCCCUGAGUAUUCUUCUAAUUCCCCCUCCUUUCCAUCCCCACUCUUUCAGCCACACUUCAGGACCAUGGUCUGUGCAUCGCUUAGUCUCAUCCUAAUUUAUCCGCAGCUCCACCCACUCCAACCUCCUCUCCCCUCUCUAAGACAACCUUUACUUCCCCACCUAUGCCUGUUCCAAUUUACUGUCUCUGAACCCCACAUAUGCCCUUUUCUGCCCUACAUUAUGAUAACUGGAGCUGGACCUAAUUUCUUUCGUUAGCGGGCACAAUGUUAGACCUUGUCAGUAGAGGGCGCUAGAGGGACACUGCACAAGGAAGGGGCUUCUCUUCUGGUUCCAGCUCUGUUCUUAGAAAACAAUGAGCUGUCUCCUUGCCAACCAGCAGCUCCCUUGGUAGGGGCAUGCAGAAGACCUGAUGACACAAACCCUCCAAAGAGUUUCACCCUCACCACAACAGGUGGCUUCCUGCUCGGCAGCCCAUCCUGCAUCACUUCAGUGGACUUCUCUGACAUCUACUAGACCACAUUAAAUGAAUCACAGCCUUGAAACUGAACUGGAAGGACUUCCUUCAAGGAGCCAGCAUAUGAACUUGCUGCCUAUCUUUAGCAAGGAGAUGCAAAUGACAUCCACAAACCUCUUCUGCUGUAUACCUGGAUGAAAGCAAGGCUAGCUGUGUGUCCUAUGGCACCAAGGACUGAAAGAUUGUAAGAAGUAAGAGUAAGUAAAUUUUUAGCUGCUAUAUUCCCUAAUAGCUAGACUUUAAAAGUAUUUUUAACUCUUUUCCUCUAUUCUUGCUAGGUGAACAAGGCUAAAACCUGGGUUUAGUUUUCAUUUUAUAAAUUAUUCUUUAAAAAUAAAUUAUUUCAACUGUCUUGAAGAGUCUGUAAAACAAGGUCUGUGAAGUCACAGAGGGAAAAAGAAUCAGAAAUCAGUAGACAGCAGUUAGACCACGGGUGUUUGUUAUACAUUCGUUCUAGACAUUCAUCAAAAGCUCAGAAAGGGAAAGUCAAGCGUGCCAAAUCAAUAAAGUUUCUAUCGUAUUUCAUCUCUUUGGAUUUGCAGAAUGCUUUGGUAAUUCUGUUUCUCAAGCCUGCACAUCACGAGCAAACAAGUAUGCUUAUGGGUGUCUUAGCCCAGUAGGCUGUUUAUCAGAAAGCUACCAGUCCCCUGUGAGAAGCUGGCUUUCCUCCAAAAUGUAGAAGGUGUUUAAGGGGACAUAUUUCUUUGGUACACCCUAAAGCAAGCUUGUCCAAUGUGCAGCCUGCAGGCCGCAUGUGGCUCAGGACAGCUUUGAAUGUAGCCCAACAUAAAUUCAUAAACUUUCUUAAAACAUUGUGAUUUUUUUGU
This 1961-nucleotide long non-coding RNA is filed under the name Homo sapiens (human). Its description in RNAcentral is "HSALNT0202257". Lineage: Eukaryota; Metazoa; Chordata; Mammalia; Primates; Hominidae. The record is from RNAcentral.